CAACAUUUGCCUUUUCUACAAAAGCUAGAUCUCAGAGACUCUAGAAGCCUAAUGCAAACACCGGAUUUCACAUGGAUGCCAAAUUUGAAGUAUUUGGAUUUGUCAUAUUGUAGAAAUCUUGAAGAGGUUCACCAGUCCCUGGGAAAUUCCAGAAAACUCAUUGAGUUAAAUUUGUAUAAUUGUGGACGCCUUAAGAGGUUUCCUUGUGUUAACGUGGAAUCUCUUGAUUAUAUGGAUCUGGAGUUUUGCUCUAGUUUAGAGAAACUUCCAGAAAUCAUCGGAAGAAUGAAGCCGGAGUUAAAGAUUAAGACGGGACUCUCUGGGAUAAGGGACUACCCAUAGUGAUAAUGCUCGAUUGAGAAACCGAAUUAGAACUAGAACUUACAGAUAUCACUGUUCAUACCCUUUUGCCGGAACCAUUAAGUGGAAAAAGAUGCAGCACAGAGUGAGACAUUGGAGGAAGCUGGAGUACGCGGUGAAGUUGAGGUUCGUUUCCCUCGUGAUCUCCUUCAGUUCUCUUAUGCUUCUUUUGAUGGAAAAUGUGAAACAUAAGAAACCUAAUUUUGUUUUGACUUAUCUAUUACAUAAGAUAAAAUAUGUUACCACUAUCAAAAACAUCUCUCUUGUUAUGGGUAGAGAGUUGGGUAAAAGAUGAAAUAAUUGAUGUGAGACAGUGAAGAAAGCUUGAGUACGAGGUGAAGUUGAGGCUCUUUCUCCCCCGUGAAGGUGAAAUAAGCAGCAAAGUCUUUCUGUUAACUUGCCUCUUACAUCAGAAGUUGAAGGCUCGUGAUUUUUCUUGUUUCUUGAAAAAUAUUGAGUGCUAGAUUAAUAUACCAAAUGUUACUUACUAGCCCUUUCCUCUCAAAACUGUUUGCGCCAAUUCAUGGUUAGAUGUGAUGUCAAAUUAAGAAUAUAUGAUCUUUUUUAUCUUACAUGAUGAAGCCAGUUGCUCGUCUUCUAAUGUUUGUGGGAGCUCUGUCUUUGAGAAUCUCCCUUUUUAUGUAAUCGUCUCCUUCUAUCAGCUACAAAGUGUUUAAAUGUAAGUAUCUCUCUUGUCAUGGCAGGGAAGUUGGGAGUAAGAUGAAACAAUCAAAGAUGCAGCACAAUGUAAGAUGGUGGGGGAAGCUGGAGUGAAGUUGAGUGUAAACUGGGACCAUGGUACUUCGAGAACAAUGCUGGUAACUUCGCCUAUGUAGCAGAACAACCUGAAUCUUGGCCUGUGAUAGAUGAAUGUGUGUAAGGCAAGAAAGCUGUGCCAAAACGGGUGAACAAUAGAAGCAAUAGUAAGUCGUGUCACAUCACAAAGCAAGAGGAGCAGAGAGGAACUGUUUCCAGGAAUCGAACGUACUUCCAGUGGUUGAGCAAGCUCAAAUAUUUUCUCCCCCACUACCAAGUUCUACUGAAGAAGCAUAAUCUCCAUUCAUAUCGUAUCAACAUGAUAGAAAUAGUUUGUUAAUAUGAAGCACAACAAAUUAUCCAUCUAGCACUAGGAUUAAGUAUAACUAAUACUAGUGGAUAUAAUCUUGAUGAUGUUACUAUUACAUUUGUAGAUAAAUUAACCACUUAAAUUAUGUCACAUCCUUUAAUUGUAUUGCAUUACUCUCAUUAGUGGAUAUUCAGAUU
Molecule: long non-coding RNA, 1623 nt
Organism: Solanum stenotomum
Lineage: Eukaryota; Viridiplantae; Streptophyta; Magnoliopsida; Solanales; Solanaceae
Exons: 4
Source: RefSeq, a predicted model, not a curated record